GGAGCUUGCUCCUUGAUUCAGCGGCGGACGGGUGAGUAAUGCCUAGGAAUCUGCCUGGUAGUGGGGGACAACGUUUCGAAAGGAACGCUAAUACCGCAUACGUCCUACGGGAGAAAGCAGGGGACCUUCGGGCCUUGCGCUAUCAGAUGAGCCUAGGUCGGAUUAGCUAGUUGGUGGGGUAAUGGCUCACCAAGGCGACGAUCCGUAACUGGUCUGAGAGGAUGAUCAGUCACACUGGAACUGAGACACGGUCCAGACUCCUACGGGAGGCAGCAGUGGGGAAUAUUGGACAAUGGGCGAAAGCCUGAUCCAGCCAUGCCGCGUGUGUGAAGAAGGUCUUCGGAUUGUAAAGCACUUUAAGUUGGGAGGAAGGGCAGUAAGUUAAUACCUUGCUGUUUUGACGUUACCGACAGAAUAAGCACCGGCUAACUCUGUGCCAGCAGCCGCGGUAAUACAGAGGGUGCAAGCGUUAAUCGGAAUUACUGGGCGUAAAGCGCGCGUAGGU
RNAcentral lists this ribosomal RNA (505 nucleotides) under Pseudomonas monteilii. RNAcentral's name for it is "bacterial SSU rRNA". It matches the Rfam family "Bacterial small subunit ribosomal RNA", at positions 75 to 576 of the family's 1533-position model. The record is from RNAcentral. Lineage: Bacteria; Pseudomonadati; Pseudomonadota; Gammaproteobacteria; Pseudomonadales; Pseudomonadaceae.